RNAcentral lists this ribosomal RNA (459 nucleotides) under uncultured bacterium. Its description in RNAcentral is "bacterial SSU rRNA". It matches the Rfam family "Bacterial small subunit ribosomal RNA", at positions 28 to 507 of the family's 1533-position model. The record is from RNAcentral.
GAUGAACGUUGGCGGCGUGCCUAAUACAUGCAAGUCGAACGAAGACUGUAGUAAUACUGUCUUAGUGGCGAACGGGUGAGUAACGCGUGGGUGACCUGCCCCGAAGUGUGGGAUAACAGUUCGAAAGGAUUGCUAAUACUGCAUAAUAUCCAAGAGAUUAGACGCUUUUGGAUUAAAGGAGUAAUUCGCUUCGGGAGGGGCCCGCGUCCCAUCAGCUAGUUGGUAAGGUAAUGGCUUACCAAGGCGAUGACGGGUAGGGGACCUGAGAGGGUGGCCCCCCACAAUGGAACUGAAACACGGUCCAUACACCUACGGGUGGCAGCAGUAGGGAAUAUUAGUAAUGGGCGAAAGCCUGAACUAGCAACGCCGCGUGUGCGAAGAAGGCCUUCGGGUUGUAAGCACUUUUGUAGAGGAUGAGGAAGGACGGUACUCUCAGAAUAAGUCUCGGCUAACUACGUG